Molecule: small nuclear RNA, 104 nt
Organism: Nomascus leucogenys (northern white-cheeked gibbon)
Lineage: Eukaryota; Metazoa; Chordata; Mammalia; Primates; Hylobatidae
Source: RefSeq, a predicted model, not a curated record
GUGCCUGCUUCAGCAACACAUAUCCUAAUACUGGAAUGAUACAAGGAUUAACACAGCCCCUGCACAAGGGUGACAUGCAAUUUCAUGAAGCAUUCCAAGAGAAA